AAAAAUCUGUGCAGCUCUUUACUUUCUACUUAUAUAUUCAUUUGUGUUUGUAUAAAGGAUGAAGCUUAAUGAGGUCUAUGUGGUCACAGAGGGAUAAAACACUGCGAGAUCAGAUGUGGCCCUGUGUUGUGUGUGAGAGCAGGACCUUUGAGCUUUCCAAUUUGUGGAAAUGUAGAAUUUGUUUCCAUGGUAACUUUUAGGCUUCAAGACUUAUGGGAAAAAGACUGCUUUUCCAGCAGUAAAGAUCUGUAUAAGGUUCUGCUCUGCUGCCCUUGCUUAGAAACACUAUGAUC
This 293-nucleotide long non-coding RNA is filed under the name Phasianus colchicus (ring-necked pheasant). RNAcentral's name for it is "lncRNA (ENSPCLG00000002515.1)". The record is from RNAcentral. Lineage: Eukaryota; Metazoa; Chordata; Aves; Galliformes; Phasianidae.